CUACGGGAGGCAGCAGUGGGGAAUAUUGGACAAUGGGCGCAAGCCUGAUCCAGCCAUGCCGCGUGAGUGAUGAAGGCCCUAGGGUUGUAAAGCUCUUUCACCGGAGAAGAUAAUGACGGUAUCCGGAGAAGAAGCCCCGGCUAACUUCGUGCCAGCAGCCGCGGUAAUACGAAGGGGGCUAGCGUUGUUCGGAAUUACUGGGCGUAAAGCGCACGUAGGCGGAUACUUAAGUCAGGGGUGAAAUCCCAGAGCUCAACUCUGGAACUGCCUUUGAUACUGGGUAUCUCGAGUAUGGAAGAGGUGAGUGGAAUUCCGAGUGUAGAGGUGAAAUUCGUAGAUAUUCGGAGGAACACCAGUGGCGAAGGCGGCUCACUGGUCCAUUACUGACGCUGAGGUGCGAAAGCGUGGGGAGCAAACAGGAUUAGAUACCCCGGUAGUCCC
This 441-nucleotide ribosomal RNA is filed under the name uncultured bacterium. RNAcentral's name for it is "bacterial SSU rRNA". It matches the Rfam family "Bacterial small subunit ribosomal RNA", at positions 339 to 797 of the family's 1533-position model. The record is from RNAcentral.